This 253-nucleotide ribosomal RNA is filed under the name uncultured bacterium. RNAcentral describes it as "partial 16S ribosomal RNA". It matches the Rfam family "Bacterial small subunit ribosomal RNA", at positions 524 to 776 of the family's 1533-position model. The record is from RNAcentral.
GACGAACCGUGCGAACGUUAUUCGGAAUCACUGGGCUUAAAGGGUGCGUAGGCGGGUCUACAAGUCAGGGGUGAAAGCCCACGGCCCAACCGUGGAAGUGCCUCUGAUACUGUAGGCCUUGAGGGGGAUAGGGGCAUGCGGAACUCAGGGUGGAGCGGUGAAAUGCGUAGAUAUCCUGAGGAACACCGGUGGCGAAAGCGGCGUGCUAGGUCCCUUCUGACGCUGAGGCACGAAAGCCAGGGGAGCAAACGGG